This 460-nucleotide ribosomal RNA is filed under the name uncultured bacterium. RNAcentral describes it as "partial 16S ribosomal RNA". It matches the Rfam family "Bacterial small subunit ribosomal RNA", at positions 338 to 795 of the family's 1533-position model. The record is from RNAcentral.
CCUACGAGUGGCAGCAGUGAGGAAUAUUGGUCAAUGGGCGCGAGCCUGAACCAGCCAAGUAGCGUGAAGGAUGACUGCCCUACGGGUUGUAAACUUCUUUUAUAAAGGAAUAAAGUGAGGCACGUGUGCCUUUUUGUAUGUACUUUAUGAAUAAGGAUCGUCUAACUCCGUGCCAGCAGCCGCGGGAAUACGGAGGAUCCGAGCUUUAUCCGGAUUUCUUUGGUUUAAAGGGAGCGUAGAUGGGUUGUUACGUCAGUUGUGAACGUUUGCGGCUCAACCGUAAAAUUGCAAUUGACACUGGCAGCCUUGAGUACAGUUGAGGUAGGCGGAAUUCGUGGUGUAGCGGUGAAAUGCUUAGAUAUCACGAAGAACUCCGAUUGCGAAGGCAGCCUACUAAACUGCCACUGACAUUGAUGCUCGAAAGUGUGGGUAUCAAACAGGAUUAGAUACCCGGGUAGUC